This is a non-coding RNA of Apaloderma vittatum (bar-tailed trogon), 57 nucleotides long. The record is from Rfam. NCBI's taxonomy places the organism in Eukaryota, Metazoa, Chordata, Aves, Trogoniformes, Trogonidae.
UAGCUCAGCCAGUUGAGCAUAGUGCUAACAACGCUAAGGUCAUGGGUUCGAUCCCAU